GGAGUUAGGCAGGUUCAUAUCACUUGGCAAUCGUGUAUUGGAUAAAUCUAUAGAUUAUAAGGUGGUUUUGUUGAAUAAAGAAAAAGGGGAAGUGUGUGUGGAUUCAUGUGAUGAGAUUGUGCAGAGCGAAAGGAGCACUUUGGAAGAAAUCAAGAGACUGAGGUUAUUAUGUGCAUCUCCAAUCUUCCGCAAACGGAAACCCUAAUACUAACCGUCGAUUCAACAUGCAAGCUUGAGCAGAAACAUGUCUUUAAUUCAAUAUGCCAUCGAUUGAUUCGAUUCAACAUGCGCAGCAUCUACAGUCUUCGGCUAUUGUUGUGGCUUCAAAUUGCAGAGAGAGGAUGAGAAGGGUAUUGCCAUGGCUCCAGAUUUGGCUUUUGCCGUGGAAUUGCGGUGUGAGAGAAAGGAAGGAGGGCUAUUGGGUUUAGUUGAUGAGAAGGAUUCGAGAGGUGAAAGGGAGAGAAGGGACAACAAGAGGUGAGACUGUGAGAGGGAGAGAAGGGUCACUGAUUGUUGAGAUGAGGAAAUUUUGAAGGAAGCUUCAAGCUUCAAGCUUCUUUAAAAAAGUUAACCUUAAAAUGUCAUCCUAUGUUGUAGAAAACAACAUACAUAUGAGAUUAAUAAAUCGGUUCAUUUUUUUAGGUUUUUUCCCUGAAUCAACCAAACCAAACCGUCAAAUGGAAAUUCUCAAAAAAUAAUAACUGAAACCGAACCAUCAAAAAAUCAAUCUGAAAAAUUGAAUUUUAAUAGUUCGGUUUGGGUUUUCAGUUACAAUAGAAAACUGCUUAGCUUACUUAUAUCAUAAAUGAAUAUAUGCAAAACACAAAUACAGAACACCUCUGCUCAUGUGUUGAGCCCUCUCACUCUCUCUAAAUCAGUAUAGCCACCAUUAGAAUAAGUCAUAAGUUGUGUAGAUCAUGGUGUAACCCAAUUUGUGGUUGCAUCUUUCAUCCAGUACACCAACUUUCUCACAUGGUCUAUCACUUCUGCUACGAAUAAGAACUUCUGACGUUGGGAUAAGAGCUUUCCUGGUUGGUACCCGUGAACCUACAAACCUUAUCUAGAUUUUGUGAUUUUUUAAUGUUUUUCAUGAUCUUUAUAAUUUAAUGUGUUUUUUCUAAGAAAUCAGAAAAUAUAAUUCAUAUUAAUUAAUCUGUGAGCACAAAUUCACAAAAUUUUAUUUUGUUGUAUAUUCUAUGUUGUUUGUUUUACACAGUAAAAUUUAAUGUUAUUU
Molecule: unclassified non-coding RNA, 1234 nt
Filed under: Hevea brasiliensis (rubber tree)
Lineage: Eukaryota; Viridiplantae; Streptophyta; Magnoliopsida; Malpighiales; Euphorbiaceae
Source: RNAcentral